RNAcentral lists this ribosomal RNA (357 nucleotides) under uncultured eukaryote. Its description in RNAcentral is "SSU rRNA". It matches the Rfam family "Eukaryotic small subunit ribosomal RNA", at positions 587 to 972 of the family's 1831-position model. The record is from RNAcentral.
AGCUCCAUUAGCGUAUAUUAAAGUUGUUGCAGUUAAAAAGCUCGUAGUUGAAGUGUGGGUAAAGGGAAAUCUUUUUGAGGACACUUUACUCUUUUUGAUGGGGGCGAUUGUUGUUUAGUCAAUGAUCUAGGCCAUUGAUUUUACUUUGAAAAAAUUAGAGUGUUUAAAGCAGGGGUAGCCUGAAUAGAUUAGCAUGGAAUAAUAGAAUAGGACUGUGGUUCUAUUUUGUUGGUUUCUAGGACCAGAGUAAUGAUUAAUAGGGACAGUUGGGGGCAUUAGUAUUUAAUAGUCAGAGGUGAAAUUCUUGGAUUUAUUAAAGACUGACUUCUGCGAAAGCAUCUGCCCAGGAUGUUUUCA